Molecule: ribosomal RNA, 450 nt
Filed under: uncultured bacterium
Lineage: Bacteria
Description: bacterial SSU rRNA
Rfam family: Bacterial small subunit ribosomal RNA
Source: RNAcentral
GUGGGGAAUAUUGGACAAUGGGCGAAAGCCUGAUCCAGCCAUGCCGCGUGUGUGAAGAAGGUCUUCGGAUUGUAAAGCACUUUAAGUUGGGAGGAAGGGCAGUAAGUUAAUACCUUGCUGUUUUGACGUUACCGACAGAAUAAGCACCGGCUAACUUCGUGCCAGCAGCCGCGGUAAUACGAAGGGUGCAAGCGUUAAUCGGAAUUACUGGGCGUAAAGCGCGCGUAGGUGGUUUUGUAAGUUGGAGGUGAAAUCCCCGGGCUCAACCUUGGAACUGCCUCCAAAACUGCAUGACUAGAGUACGGUAGAGGGUAGUGGAAUUUCCUGUGUAGCGGUGAAAUGCGUAGAUAUAGGAAGGAACACCAGUGGCGAAGGCGACUACCUGGACUGAUACUGACACUGAGGUGUGAAAGCGUGGGGAGCAAACAGGAUUAGAAACCCGGGUAGUCC